GAUGAACGCUAGCGGCAGGCUUAAUACAUGCAAGUCGAGGGGCAUCAAGGUACACGAAAGUGUAUUGUUGGCGACCGGCGGACGGGUGAGUAAUAGGUAGGUAACCUACCUCAUACUGAGGCAUAGCUGGGAGAAAUUCCAGGUAAUUUCUCAUGAGGUUAUAUGACACAUGUGAUAUAAUCAAAGGUAUCGCAAGGUACUGGUAUGAGAUGGGCUUACUGACCAUUAGCUAGUUGGUGAGAUAAGAGCUCACCAAGGCGAAGAUGGUUAGGGGUUUUGAGAGAGAGAUCCCCCACAUUGGAACUGAGAUACGGUCCAGACUCCUACGGGAGGCAGCAGUAGGGAAUAUUGGGCAAUGGGCGAAAGCCUGACCCAGCCAUGCCGCGUGAAGGAAGACGGCCUUAUGGGUUGUAAACUUCUUUACUACGCGAAUAGAGGUUAGUACGAGAUACUAAUAGGAAGGUAGUGUAGUAAAAAGCACCGGCUAACUCCGUGCCA
This 498-nucleotide ribosomal RNA is filed under the name uncultured bacterium. RNAcentral's name for it is "bacterial SSU rRNA". It matches the Rfam family "Bacterial small subunit ribosomal RNA", at positions 28 to 510 of the family's 1533-position model. The record is from RNAcentral.